Molecule: ribosomal RNA, 254 nt
Filed under: uncultured bacterium
Lineage: Bacteria
Description: partial 16S ribosomal RNA
Rfam family: Bacterial small subunit ribosomal RNA
Source: RNAcentral
GACAGAGGAGCCAAGCGUUGUCCGGACUGACUGGGCGUAAAGCGCACGCAGGCGGCGCUGCGCGUGGGGUGUGAAAGCUCUUGGCUUAACUGAGAGAGGCCAUCCCAUACGGCAGUGCUCGAGCGGUGCAGAGGUCCGCGGAAUUGCCGGUGUAGUGGUGAAAUGCGUAGAGAUCGGCAGGAACAGCCCAGGGGGAAACCAGCGGACUGGGCAUCAGCUGACGCUCAGGUGCGACAGCGUGGGGAGCGAACCGG